This 368-nucleotide long non-coding RNA is filed under the name Ananas comosus (pineapple). RNAcentral's name for it is "long non-coding RNA (ACOM_LNC011109)". The record is from RNAcentral. Lineage: Eukaryota; Viridiplantae; Streptophyta; Magnoliopsida; Poales; Bromeliaceae.
AUAAUUUGUCGUACAACAUAUCUUUUAUUAAAAAAGUAUGAGUGAGGCUACUAUGCUAUCGGAAGCACGGAGCCUUCCGUGCUUUUAGCUCGUUUUCGAUGUUGCGACUUUCGAAUUGUCGAUCGGCUCCGUUAAACUUGAUCUAGAGUAUUUGAAAUACCUAGAAAAUAAAUUUUAUUAUUUUUCGAUAUCAUUUGCCUAAUGAUCGAAUGGGCUCAAAAUCAACAAAUUUCAAUGGCCGUAGUGAGCCGUUUGCAAGUUUAACGAUGUAGAAAUAUUCAAAUCACGUGAAAUUUUGAUAGAAAAUUUUUUAUACUAUAUAAAACAAGAUCAAUAUCUUUGAUUUAAAAUUUUAAUGUCAUANUAUA